Molecule: unclassified non-coding RNA, 333 nt
Filed under: soil metagenome
Description: partial contains 5.8S ribosomal RNA, internal transcribed spacer 2, and large subunit ribosomal RNA
Rfam family: 5.8S ribosomal RNA (bases 1-119)
Source: RNAcentral
GAUGAAGAACGUAGCGAAAUGCGAUACGUAAUGUGAAUUGCAAAUUCAGUGAAUCAUCGAAUCUUUGAACGCACAUUGCGCCCGCCAGUAUUCUGGCGAGCAUGCCUGUUCGAGCGUCAUUUCAACCAUCAAGCCCCAGGCUUGUGUUGGAGCCCUGCGGCUGCCGCAGCCUCCCAAAACCAGUGGCGGGCUCGCUAUCACACCGAGUGCAGUAGUUUACUCUUCGCUCAGGGCGUGUGGCGGGUGCUAGCCGUGAAACCCCCCACUUCUCAAGGUUGACCUCGGAUCAGGUAGGAAUACCCGCUGAACUUAAGCAUAUCAAUAAGCGGAGGA